AACGAACGCUGGCGGCAGGCCUAACACAUGCAAGUCGAACGCUCCGCAAGGGGAGUGGCGCACGGGUGAGUAACACGUGGGAACCUACCUUCUGGUACGGAACAACCAAGGGAAACUUUGGCUAAGACCGUAUACGACCUCCGGGUGAAAGAUUGAUCGCCGGAAGAGGGGCCCGCGUCCGAUUAGGUAGUUGGUGAGGUAACGGCUCCA
RNAcentral lists this ribosomal RNA (210 nucleotides) under uncultured bacterium. RNAcentral's name for it is "partial 16S ribosomal RNA". It matches the Rfam family "Bacterial small subunit ribosomal RNA", at positions 29 to 268 of the family's 1533-position model. The record is from RNAcentral.